AAAAUAAUCAGUAAUAAGAAGACCUAUUAUCAGGGUUGUUGUGAGGGUCAGAUGAGUUACUGCCAGCAAAACUGACCUGGCUUACAUUAAGUGGUUAAUAAGAAUUGGGUGUGGGGAAAAAAAAAAGAAUAUUGUUUU
This is a long non-coding RNA of Lontra canadensis (Northern American river otter), 138 nucleotides long. RefSeq lists it as uncharacterized. NCBI's taxonomy places the organism in Eukaryota, Metazoa, Chordata, Mammalia, Carnivora, Mustelidae. The transcript has 4 exons. The record is from RefSeq and is a predicted model, not a curated record.